UGGGGACUUAGGAGGAGCCAGGAUGAAAAGCUUGCCUGUUCCCUAAACUUGGCAGGGCUAUUCUGGAAGCCUGGCUCUCCCCCUGUCUGGCUGAGAAGACAUUCCUCUCACUAGAUCAUAAAGUCCUGUCCCGUUGUGGCCGUGGUCCGUCUACCCCUCAGCACCUGCCCUGUGUCUACACGAAUUUGUCAGACUGGACAGAAGAAGCCCACAGCCAGGCCCCUCGACUUGCAGGUCCAAGCGAAGCUACCAGACCAGCUCUUCCAAACCGUACGCCAGAUGGGACCUGCACUCCAGCCACUGCAAGCAGCUUUGUUUUCAGCACAAAUGCCAGGACUUGAGAAAAGUGUUCACAACGUCAUGGCUAGGAAAGAAAGAUAAUCCUCCAGCUUUUUCAAGUCCCUCAAGAUUUCUCCCCUCAGCAGCAUUAAGCUACGUGACAGAACAAGCUGCUGCUUCAGUAGCUGCUGCCCAGCCUCCUCCCUCACCCGCAGGACGGCCUGGGUCAGUCAGUGGAUGGGGGCGAGUCAUCUCCCCUGGAGGCACUCUGAUCCUGGAGCCACUAACGCUCAAGGAGAUGGCCUCAAAUUCUAGAGCAAAGUCAAGGGGUCUAUCACGG
RNAcentral lists this long non-coding RNA (619 nucleotides) under Equus asinus (donkey). RNAcentral's name for it is "lncRNA (ENSEASG00005029979.1)". Lineage: Eukaryota; Metazoa; Chordata; Mammalia; Perissodactyla; Equidae. The record is from RNAcentral.